This 1173-nucleotide long non-coding RNA is filed under the name Rosa chinensis. RNAcentral's name for it is "sRNA RchiOBHm_Chr2g0152811". Lineage: Eukaryota; Viridiplantae; Streptophyta; Magnoliopsida; Rosales; Rosaceae. The record is from RNAcentral.
GAAUACCCAAGCCUGGGAUUACCCAGAUUAGUCCCCAGUUUUGGGAAUAACAUGGUUAGAUCCAGCCAUUAAUCACUACAUCAACAACAAGUAGCAUCAAUUUGGCUCAAAGCCAUCUUCCUUCUCUAUCUCUGCAACUUGUUGGCGGACAUGGUGGUCCUGAUUCAUUGGAUCUAUUGAGUUUUCCAUGAUCAAUUUUCUUCUUGUGUUUACAGCUUCCAUUCCCCUAUCUUCUCACUCUGUCAUCAAAUUUUAGGGGGUUUGGUUUGCUGUGAGUAGUAGAGCUUCCUUCGUUGUCUUCCGCAAACCCGCCGCUCAUGACUUUCACUACCGUCUCGUUAAGCAGAACACAUUGAUUUUGAGAGGGAUUCGAGGAUUGAUUGAAGUUGGAAAGAUUCUACUAGGAUUCGUUGAAAACAUGGGAUUUAGCCACAGUAAGAGACCCUAAGGAUGACUGAUGUUCAGAUUGGUGAGAAGUAAAUAUUGAGAAGGUGUGAGCUUCAAGGCAAAGGCUCUUUGUGGUGGUUGGUAGAGGAGCUGUAGGUUUUGCUACAAUCUGAGGGAUUGAUAGUGUGCUUAUGUGGAAUUCAUUGCAAUUAAGUGGACUUGAGAAGUAUUAGUGCACUUUGUUAUUAAUUUGAAUUGCUGAUUGGAAGUCCUUUCGAACCAGAGCUUAAUCCUGUGAGGUGGAGUCUUUGUAUGAGCUAUAUAAGAAAAUAAGCAGCUCUGUAGUUAAACAUGGCUUAUACACAAGGGUGCUCGAUAUUACCUACCUUGUGCUCGUGCUGUAAUAAAAUACGUCAUUCUGGCUAUGUCUGGUCAUAUGGAUGAUAUCCUGGGAAAGUAUAAGGUCAGGAUAAUCAGGGCUGAAGCUGAGGUAGUGCCUUUGCAGCUUUAUGGUAUGAAGCCAUUUUUGUGACUUUAUCGUUGAUAAGGACUUCCGUUGUGUAGUUAGCUCUGAGAAGCAUUUACGUUUUAUUUUGUUGUUGGCAAUUUAAUUAGUAAGCAUUGUAAUAUAUGACUCUGUGGAGCGGGUCAAUAUUGACAUAGUGGGUUCAGGGCAUCAAUAUGUACUUGGGUUAAAAUGGAAAAAGUUUCUAGGUAUUUUGUAUUGAUGGCUGAACGUUUACGCAUAUGUAAUUAUGAGCUUAUAUAUAUAUCGAUUUUCAUGUG